GAGGAAAGUCCGGACUCUAGUUAAUCAAAAUAUAGCUGUAUAGAAAACAGUAUAGGUAACUAUCAGGAAAGUGCCACAGAAAGAAACCGCCUAUAGACUAGACUUUAGGUAAGGGUGCAAAGGUAUGGUAAAAGCAUACCAGAAGUAUAAUUAGAAUUACUUGCUAGGCAAACCCCGUAUAAGAGCAAAGUUAUAAAUUUCAUUUUCUUAAGUUAUAUAUGUUAAAACAAGAUUAUAAUUUAUAUUUUAUAUCUCAUUACUGCAAAAAAUUAUAUGUAAAUAUAAAAAACAGAUUAAUAACUACCCUUAAUAACUUUAAUUUUUAUACAAAAUAAUAUAAACUUUAAAACUAUUACGAACAAAAUCCGGCUUAA
RNAcentral lists this RNase P RNA (374 nucleotides) under Gracilaria rangiferina. RNAcentral's name for it is "Hydropuntia rangiferina ribonuclease P RNA". The stretch from base 2 to 185 matches the Rfam family "Bacterial RNase P class A", at positions 44 to 222 of the family's 367-position model. Lineage: Eukaryota; Rhodophyta; Florideophyceae; Gracilariales; Gracilariaceae. The record is from RNAcentral.